Molecule: ribosomal RNA, 253 nt
Filed under: uncultured bacterium
Lineage: Bacteria
Description: partial 16S ribosomal RNA
Rfam family: Bacterial small subunit ribosomal RNA
Source: RNAcentral
UACGGAGGGGGCUAGCGUUGUUCGGGCUUACUGGGCGUAAAACGCACGUAGGCGGAUUGUUAAGUCGGGGGUGAAAUCCCGGGGCUCAACCCCGGAAUGGCCUCCGAUACUGGCAAUCUUGAGGUCGGGAGAGGUGAGUGAAAUGGCGAGUGUAGAGGUGAAAUUCGUAGAUAUUCGCCGGAACACCAGUGGCGAAGGCGCCUCACUGGCCCGAUACUGACGCUGAGGUGCGACAGCGUGGGGAGCAAACAGG